RNAcentral lists this ribosomal RNA (468 nucleotides) under uncultured bacterium. RNAcentral describes it as "partial 16S ribosomal RNA". It matches the Rfam family "Bacterial small subunit ribosomal RNA", at positions 28 to 507 of the family's 1533-position model. The record is from RNAcentral.
GACGAACGCUGGCGGCGUGCUUAACACAUGCAAGUCGAACGGAAAGGCCCUGCUUUUGUUUGGUGCUCGAGUGGCGAACGGGUGAGUAACGCGUGAGUAACCUGCCCUUGACUUUGGGAUAACUUCAGGCAACUGGGUCUAAUACCGGAUAGGAGCUCCUGCGGCAUGGUGGGGGUUGGAAAUUUUCGGCGGUUGGGGAUGGACUCGCGGCUUAGCAGCUUGUUGGUGGGGUAGUGGCUUACCAAGGCGUUGACGGGUAGCCGGCCUGAGAGGGUGACCGGCCACAUUGGGACUGAGAGACGGCCCAGACUCCUACGGGAGGCAGCAGUGGGGAAUAUUGCACACUGGGCGGAAGCCUGAUGCAGCAACGCCGCGUGCGGGAUGACGGCCUUCGGGUUGUCAACCGGUUUAGCCUGUGACGAAGCGUGAGUGACGGUAAUGGGUAAAGAAGCACCGGCUAACUACGUG